Molecule: non-coding RNA, 204 nt
Organism: Vicia faba (fava bean)
Lineage: Eukaryota; Viridiplantae; Streptophyta; Magnoliopsida; Fabales; Fabaceae
Source: the annotation of a GenBank genome assembly
AUGAGAGAGAAAAGCGACAUUAUUGUGAAACCGUGUAUUUCAACAACUCAGAGGAGUCUAUUUUAUAUAGGUUCGAAGGAAUAUAAACAAAUGGAAUAUAGGAGAUAUUAUUCCUAUUUGCAAUUGCAUGAUAUGAUACAAUAUAAUAUAUCUACAAUAAAUACAAAUAUCAUAAUAUAUUUUCAACACAACCCCUCAAGCUAG